CCCACGCUGUUACGAAAUUUCCUAGUCAAACCCCUCCACAUGGGCUCCGGCUCUUCUCUUGGGAGACGCAGUAGCGCGUCUCCGCUUGCUUCACGUCGCUCACGCACGCGAUAUUUAUAUGGCAAUGAUAUGCGCCUCUGCCCCGUCUCGGAGGUAAGCGAGCAAACGUUAUUCUGCAACCCAUUAUCACGUCGAGUGCUUGCCGCAUCGUUUCGUGCACACGAUGAUAGCAGCGAUUCCUUGUCGUCAGCAUUCCUAUCGCUGUGGAGGACGUCUCCUAUCGGGGAUCUUCUUCUUCUCUCAGAAGCCGUCGCGAACGAUGAGAGGGAGCGUCGUCGGAGCUCACAGCAACGGCGCUGUACGGCGCAUGUGCAGGGCGUCGUGGGCGCGUUCUGCAGAGGCAGCAAUGUUGACUUUUCGGCGCAAAUGUACAAAAGCUUUUUCGAGCUCGCCAUGGAUCAGCGUCGCAUGCAGCUUCAGCAGCAGAGGCGUUUUUGCUGAUGGCACCGCUUGUGGUGGUGUGAGCCUUGAUGGCCACAGCACGGUUCUUUUUUUUUGCCUUUUGCCAGGAGCGUGGCGUAAGAUGAGGUGGCCGCGGCAUCUUGGCGCCGUGAGUGAUGGGGCUGUGUGCGCGCUGUCCGUGCACGCCCACAGAAAGCGCCCCCACGCAGCGUUCUCCUCCCCUUCCAUUCUUUCACAACUCAGACACCCGCCAUCUGCAUCUGCCCCGCCGGCUGUAGUGCUGCUGUCGCGCUUGCCUGAGUUGUGUUCUUUUUCGUGUGUCGGUAUUGUGGAUGCUGCGGUCGGGGACGCGCAAGCACAGGCACACGUGAGGACGUAAUGAUGGUUGCUGCUACUCUUUGCUCUUCUUUUCUCGCUGCUAAUCGACGAAGAAUUGUUGCCACCAAUCACGUGCGAUGGUGUCCCGUAAGAGACGCGCACAUCUUAUUGCACGCAGCAAGUCGUUAUGUUUUGGUGCUUUUGAGGUGUACGUAGGUAAUGGCGCGCUGCUGCUGCAUUCGAGACG
This 1027-nucleotide unclassified non-coding RNA is filed under the name Leishmania donovani. Its description in RNAcentral is "gene:unknown". Lineage: Eukaryota; Euglenozoa; Kinetoplastea; Trypanosomatida; Trypanosomatidae. The record is from RNAcentral.